This 604-nucleotide ribosomal RNA is filed under the name uncultured Planctomycetota bacterium. RNAcentral's name for it is "bacterial SSU rRNA". It matches the Rfam family "Bacterial small subunit ribosomal RNA", at positions 28 to 672 of the family's 1533-position model. The record is from RNAcentral. Lineage: Bacteria; Pseudomonadati; Planctomycetota.
CCUGAACGCCGGCGGCGUGGUUAAGACAUGCAAGUCGAACGACAUAGUGGCGAACGGGUGAGUAAUGUAUCGCUAAUCUGCCCUGAGCUCGAGGAUAGCGGCGGGAAACUGCCGGUAAUACUCGAUAUUCCCCAGAGAUCGCAUGAUCUCUGGUGCAAAACUCCGGUGGCUCGGGAUGAGGCGAUAUGGUAUCAGCUUGUUGGUAGGGUAACGGCCUACCAAGGCUUCGACGCCUAACCGGACUGAGAGGUCGGCCGGUCACAUCGGGACUGAGACACUGCCCGGACUCCUACGGGAGGCUGCAGUAACGAAUCUUCCGCAAUGUACGAAAGUAUGACGGAGCGACGCCGCGUGCAGGACGAAGCCCUUCGGGGUGUAAACUGCUAAAACUAUCAGAUAAGUUCUGAAUCGGUAGUGAUAAGGAGCGACUAACUCUGUGCCAGCAGUCGCGGUAAUACAGAGGCUCCAAGCGUUAGGCGGAAUCACUGGGCUUAAAGCGUGCGUAGGCGGCUCAUCAAGUGUCUUGUGAAAGCCCUCGGCUCAACCGAGGAAUUGCUUGGCAUACUGGUGAGCUUGAAUCAUUUAGAGGCAAGUGGAACUGAUG